GCACCCAUACGGGCUAUUUCGAUAUAAGUUGUAUCUCAAGUGAUCUCAAGUAAGCCGGUAAGCGCGUGUUGGCGCUCGUUGUCCCGGUUCUGCCUUCCGCAACCGUUCAUGCGGUCGUCUGUGAUUGCACAAUCUACAAUAAAGUGGAUUGAACUGACUGCCCGUGCAUUCAUUGAACGUCAAGCCUUCCUGUCUAUGAGAAGAGUAAAGCAUCUCUGAUUUGUAAUUAGCGACCUCCAAAACUCCAGGAUAUCAAAUUUCAUGUAAAUCAAAAAACGCUUUCAUAUUUUGGCCAUUUUUUCGGGAUUUUGGCCUUGGGAUUUGGGACUGCUGCCUUCGUUUGAAAACCUUGCGGUGUCCGACUGGUUGUGUGCAUCUGAAAUCCUUCCAUUGAUCAAAUCAUGUUUUGAAGCGGUUGAUCAAAGCCUAUCAGCAGAUUGUGAAUUUAUUGGACGGGGAACUUAAACGAUCCGAGAGUUUUGGAAAAUAAAACUCCGAAAAGAGGGAAGAUUGAAAAUCAGGGUUGGGUAUUUCUAGCUGAAAGGAAUAAGAAGGAAGAAGAAAAAAGAAGGAAAAAGAAGAAAAUAAACAAAAGGAGACAAGACACAAGACAUGAUUAUUCAGCCGGGAUAUAAUACAUAUAUUGCCUUCAGUUAGAGAGAGAAAGCAUCGCGGUGAUAAACAUG
Molecule: long non-coding RNA, 686 nt
Organism: Solenopsis invicta (red fire ant)
Lineage: Eukaryota; Metazoa; Arthropoda; Insecta; Hymenoptera; Formicidae
Exons: 4
Source: RefSeq, a predicted model, not a curated record